Pseudoliparis swirei is the source of this 1118-nucleotide long non-coding RNA. RefSeq lists it as uncharacterized. NCBI's taxonomy places the organism in Eukaryota, Metazoa, Chordata, Actinopteri, Perciformes, Liparidae. The record is from RefSeq and is a predicted model, not a curated record. The transcript is spliced from 3 exons.
CGGAGCAGUCGGAGUGUGAACAUGUCUCCAGGGAGGAAAUAAAGCUUUGUGUGGUAGGUGCCGGAUGAUUUGCAACAGGGAAACACUUUCUCUCUGUCGCUCUGCACUCGCAAAAUCUGAUGCCACUUGAAUGGGCCGCCGUGCAGCGAGAGGAACAGACACAGGGAAACCUCCCUCUUCAGACAACACCUUCAACCUACAUCUGCAUCCAAUUUGCAGCACGAGGCUCACCAGUCCACGUGAAUCAAUAUCAAAGAUCUCUCUCUCAAGCACAAUGCGCUGUCGAUAAAAUCAGAGGACUGCACUCAGAAACUGAUUUCAUUUGGUGACAUAGAUGUUUGUACCCAGUCUCUAGCACCAUAUGAAAUCAGUGUUCUGGGAGGUGGAUCAUCAGCAUGUACAGACGCUGUACAUUCAUGAACUGAAAUAUGAGAUGUUUUUAUAAUGUUACAAAGUAGGUCACAUUUGUAUAAGUUACUGUUGAUUCACUAACUGGUCACAGAUGCUUUCCUGCUUCUUGUUAAUUAUGUUUCCCCCUGUGUGUCUGACUCAAACUUACUGUAUUCAUGAAUUCACUUUCAUUGAUAAAUUCUGAAACCAUUGGCUUUGUUUAAAGACAAAGGACGGAGUAUGAUUUUCCUGGGGGGGACAACUGUGUAUAGGUUCAUACAACAAUAAUUCCUCUCAAUGAUCACUAACUGUCCUCUUGACUGUGAUUUCUCUUUUCAUUUUCUAUAAAAACACAGAAACCAGGUACGAGUGCAUUUCUUCCAUCAGAUGGAAACAUAGAGGCUGUUUUCACAUGCACAGCUGAGGUCAAUCUCUUCGUUGCUGAAGGAAGGCAGAGUGCAAAUACUCCUCCAUGACAUGUAAAUGAAUACGGCUGGAAGUGACUCAGAAAGAAACAGACAUUGUAGCCUGGUUGGCACCUACCUUCAUGGUUUCCGUCACAUUAUAAUGUAUUAGGAAAAUGCACUGUUUAGAAUGUAUCACAUAAAUAAGUGACUGCUACUUUAUAUAGUUUUGAGGCAAUCAAAUGUUCCUUAAUAUUUUUUAUGGAAUACUGUAAUUAACCUGCAAUAAAAUACACAAUAAAUAAAACUCACAAUAAAUAUUUA